GACGAACGCUGGCGGCGUGCUUAACACAUGCAAGUCGAGCGGAAAGGCCCUUCGGGGUCCUCGAGCGGCGAACGGGUGAGUAACACGUGAGUAACCUGCCCUAGGCCUUGGGAUAACCCCGGGAAACCGGGGCUAAUACCGGAUAUGACCUGGUGCCGCUUGGUGUUGGGGGGCAAGUUUUUUCGGCCUGGGAUGGGCUCGAGGGCUAUCAGCUUGUUGGGGGGGUGAUGGCCUAACAAGGCGAGGACGGGCAGCCGGCCUGAGAGGGCGACCGGCCACACUGGGACUGAGGGACGGCACAGACUCCUACGCGAGGCAGCAGUGGGGAAUAUUGCACAAUGAGCGGAAGGCUGAUGCAGAGACGCCGUGUGAGGGAAGAAGGCCUUCGGGUUGAAAACCUCUUUCAGCAGGGACGAAGCGUGAGUGACGGUACCUGAAGAAGAAGCGCCGGCCAACUACGUG
Molecule: ribosomal RNA, 462 nt
Filed under: uncultured bacterium
Lineage: Bacteria
Description: partial 16S ribosomal RNA
Rfam family: Bacterial small subunit ribosomal RNA
Source: RNAcentral